GAGAGUUCAAACCAUUUACUAAGUAGAUUCUUAGCCUUCCCACUCCCGCCCACUCUCAAGCUCCGGUGCCCACAAGCCUUGCCUGGGGAGAUGUUGGAGUGAGACCGGGAGGUCCAGGCCAAGUAACUGGCCCCUGGGCUCGGGCCCUGCUGAUGGGGUAAAGACCAGCUGUACACAUCUCUCCGGUGGGGUCCCUGGGCUCUCCAUCCGCCCCUCCGAAGUCAGCAGGAGCCUCUGGGAAGUCAGGCAACAGCCAAGACCCCCAGCGUCUUGGAGGGGAAGCGGCAUCCUCAGUCUGACACCCGCUCUGCCUGUGGAAACAGCGCCGCGCACAGAAAAGGAAACUGUCCGAGUCCGUCUGUUAAGGGCAGAGCCCGGCUGGUGGCAGGAGAGGGUCAGCUGCGGGCGCAGGCAGGAGCCCAUCCAGGAACCGCGUCGGGGUGCAGAGCCGGACGUUCUGCGGUGCCUGCGCGCGGCGCUACCCGGCGGAAGCCGCAGGUCCAUGCGGGGCUCCCCAGGCUCAUCCAACGCCUCGCAGGCGUAGCUGGCAGGAGGGCCCCCGCCGUGCCCAGCGCCCUCAGACGUAGUUCUUCUUGUCGUAGUCGCCGGUGGCCGUGGGCCGCCGCGGCGCCGAAUACUUCACGGGGAAGCUGAGGUCGGGACGGCUGGUGCAGACCCAGGCGCCGCAGCACAAGAGGCCGCCGCCUACCAUGAGCAGCGCGGUGGCCGCCCAGCCGAUAUACAGCGCUGCGCCCAGCUCGUACUUCUGCGACACGGGCACAGACGGAUCGUAGAACUCGCGGACGACAAUGUUGGCGAACCAGCAGAGUGGCACUAGCGCAAGCAGCCCGCAAAGCAGGUAAAGCACGCCUCCCGUGAGGGCCACACGCGCCUUUGCCGGGCCCGGGGCCACGCAGGUGGUGCACUGCGCUCCCGCCAAGGUCACGAAGAGCGCAACGAACGCCAACAGCACGGCGCCCACGGUGAGCGCCCGCGCUGCCUGCACCUCGGUGCUCAGAGCCAGCACCGAGUCGUACACCUUGCACUGCAUGUGCCCCGUGCUCUGCACCACGCACGACAUCCACAGCCCCUUCCAGGUGGUCUGCGCCGUCACGAUGUUGUGGUCCAGGAAGGCAGUCACCUGCCACAUGGGCAGCCCGCAAGCCAGGAUCAGACCCCCCCAGCCCACCAGGCACAGCACCAGGCCCAGUAUCUCCAACGCUGCGGACCCCAUGGCUAGAGGAGAGACGCGAGCCCGACGGUCCCCAGAACCCCCAAGGCCGUGCUGCGCGGCGCCCUGGGCGGGCCCUAGUGCCUUUGCGCCCGCGCUCCCGGCUCUCGGCCCCAGUCCGUUUGCCCCGCGGGUCUGUCGCACCUUCUAGGUCUGCCAACUCCUGCCGGGGGU
RNAcentral lists this long non-coding RNA (1405 nucleotides) under Macaca fascicularis (crab-eating macaque). RNAcentral's name for it is "lncRNA (ENSMFAG00000027218.2)". Lineage: Eukaryota; Metazoa; Chordata; Mammalia; Primates; Cercopithecidae. The record is from RNAcentral.